Non-coding RNA from Peromyscus maniculatus bairdii (prairie deer mouse), 1507 nucleotides. The record is from RefSeq and is a predicted model, not a curated record. NCBI's taxonomy places the organism in Eukaryota, Metazoa, Chordata, Mammalia, Rodentia, Cricetidae.
AGGCCAAUCUACCCUGAGCCAGCAGGUCAAGUCCACCCUUCCUUGGGCAGGGAGAAUCUGGCUUUGACAGGAGUGAACUAAUUCUCCAAGGAGAAUUUGCUCAGCAGCCCAGUUUGGCAAAGGAUCUGCUAGCUGAAUCAUCAAGUCGAGGAAAGCUGAUUUUCCAAAUACCAAUCGCCAACUUAGCAAACACCAAUGCUCUUUUUAAAGUGUUUACGUCAGGCAGCUAAACACACAGGCUCUCAUGUCUGCCUGUCACGAACAUCCAAAGAAUGGCCGUCCAUCUGCCUCUGCUUCCUCACACUUCAGCUUCACAGAGCUGGGGUUGUAGGAGAUACUGUACCCACAAAUCCUCCACAUGCUGAGCCCUCCCACCAUAGUGGAGCCUUAUUCAUCCAGACUCUUAGAUACCCGGCUCCUGGAUCAUCAAAGGAGGCUGUGCCCAGCAUGUUAUGAAAUCCCACACAUAUCCAGGAUAUCAGUCAGACUCCUGGUGGAAGCCAGAGAGCACGUUCAGAUGUAUGCUCACGGAAAGGGGGCAUUCACAAGGUGAACAAUAAGAGAUCCUGGGACACUAAAACAGAAAUUAUGACAACUACUAUCUCUGGUUAUCUCAGAGGGGCACAGAGAGCUUCCUGUCUCCUAGAGCUGUGACUGUGGAAGAAUCAGGGGACAGAGGCUACAGCCAUCAUCAGAGAAACAUGGCCACUUCUAAACUAUGCACAACAAGGAGGCAGCUGGGGGAUAGCGACCACUCCUCUUCCUCCCCAGACUCGAACCAGCACCUUCCCUCUGAGCAGUCCCGAUCAGGCUCACAGCCAGGAGCCCAGAAAUGUGUGGAACAAAAAAGGAAAUAGAGCCCAUUGUCAAGCUCCAUUUCAGAGAACUGAGAGACCAGAGGGAUUUGGAAACUCAAAAGUCAAUGAGCUUGUGUUCCUCCUCCACCUCCCAAAUGCUCCCAUCUUCCCCAACCACAGCACAGUGCGCAGAACCAGGAAACUGAGAGCAGCACACAGGAAGAAAUUCACAAAAGAAGUACAUUAACUUAACUAAAGGACUUAAAGUUAUCAAUCAAAUCAUCCGUUGUCUUCAUUUGAGUUUGUUUGUUUUGCUUUGUUGCUGAUUUUGUUUUUGGUUUGUUUUGGUUUUUGUGUGUGUUUGUUUUUUGAGACAGGGUCAUAUAACCCAAGCUGGCCUUUAAUUCACUGCAUAGCUAAGGAUAGCCUUGAACUCCUGAUUUUUAAAUGAAUUUAUAUUAGUUUACUGGAUCAAAUUGAACAUACUAGCUAGGUAGGCAUGGUGACUCACAAUUAUAAUCUCAACAUUCAACUGUGGAGGGCCCCAAAACAGCUUGACCACACAGCAGCCAUGACAGGCUUAGGGGCCUAGACGCAGCUUCUGUGACAGGCUGACUGGCAGGCAACACCCAGACCCAGGAAAAACCUUAAGAUGAUACCUUAACCCAGGGGUGAGGAAGUACCUGACACCCCAAACAUUCCAACCAUUA